GACGAACGCUGGCGGCGUGCUUAACACAUGCAAGUCGAACGGUGAAGCGCCUUCCUUUUUGGUGGGUGUGGAGGCGUGGCGAACGGGUGCGUAACACUUGAGUAACCUGCCCCCUUCUUCUGGAUAACCGCAUGAAAGUGUGUCUAAUACGGGAUCUUCUGGGUCUGUCGCAUGAUGGGUCUGGGAAAGCUAUUGUUUCGGUGGGGGCUGGGCUCGCGGCCUAUCAGCUUGUUGGUGGGGUGAUGGCCUACCAAGGCGGUGCCGGGUAGCCGGCCUGGGGGGGUGGCCGGCCUGAGUGGGACUGAGACCCGGCCGGGACUCCUACGCGGGCCAGACGCGGGGAGUAGUGCGCAGUGGGGGAUAGUCUGAAGCAGGCGGAACGCGGGUGGAGUGGAGCCGCUCGGGUGGUGACGGUCUUUCGGCAGUGAAGCAGGUCUGCCUGGUUUGUAGGGGGGUUGACGGUAGCUGGAAAAGAAGCGCCGGCUAACUACGUG
Molecule: ribosomal RNA, 494 nt
Filed under: uncultured bacterium
Lineage: Bacteria
Description: partial 16S ribosomal RNA
Rfam family: Bacterial small subunit ribosomal RNA
Source: RNAcentral